Molecule: long non-coding RNA, 10734 nt
Organism: Homo sapiens (human)
Lineage: Eukaryota; Metazoa; Chordata; Mammalia; Primates; Hominidae
Exons: 2
Source: RefSeq, a predicted model, not a curated record
UGUGCGUCUUGCACAUGUACCCUGGAACUUAAAAUAACAUUAAAUUUUUUAAAAAAGUUUUUUAAAUUAUUAAUGACUGUUAACAUUUAUCAAAUGCUUCUUCUGAAUCAAUUAAGAUGAUCAUGAUUUUUUUCUCUUACUAGUUAAUGUGGUUAAUUAUAAUUUUCAAAUGUUAAACCAACCUCGCAGUCCUAGAGUAAACCCCAUUUGGUAAUUGUGUAGUAUCGUUUAAUAUCUAUAUCUAUAUUGCUGUUUUCUUGUAUAUAUUUUCAUGAGAGAGAUUGGCCUGUAGUCUUGAAAUGUCUUUGUCAUGUUUUGAUAGAGAGGUUAUGCUGACCUCUUUUCUAUUGUCUUUUUGUAUUGUCUGAAACAAUUUGUAUUUUGAGUGAGGUCAUCUUCGUCUCUCAAGACCAGCCCAGUUGCCAGCUGAAUACCACUGAAUGAACAACCAAACUGUCACUGGAGAUGAAGAGAGGGCCUUGGCCACUGUGCCAGGUGUGCCUGCUACAGUUCUUGGAAAACAGAGGCUGCUCAGUAGAGGAGGGUGAUAUAUCUUCCUGACAAAGCUCCUGCCAGGAGACGAUGUGCAUAACUCAGCCCUGAGCCUUUCUAUGAGCUCUGCCAAAUCCGACAGACAGGUAACAAAACACUGAAAAAAAAGUAAUGUCAGCCCAGCCUGGCGAGUGCCAACACCGCUCCCUUAAUUACUCUACCUAGUGACAAAAGCUAUUCAUCAAACUCGAAAUAAAGUGGUUUUAAAGUCAGAAAUUUAUGUGCCAGCCAGUGAGAGGCUGUAAUUUUGGGGGCAUUGGUUUAAAGCAACAUAAAGCAAGAUGAAAACAAAUUGGAGAGCCAGGUAACUUUUCAUUUACACAAUGGCACCAUCAGGUUUGUCUUUGGUUCUUUCUGAUUUUCUCACCAUGUCUUUCUCCCCACAUUCUAGCCAAAUAAAACUUUUGAUCCAGGCCAAGAUCCCAUCCUGAAGCCAAAAGGAAGAUUAAUUCAUUCUUGAUUUACUUAUUAAACAUUUGUUGUAUUAAAUAAGUAGAGUGAAAAGAAGGCCGAGUAAUCCUGGAGGAAUUUAUUUAUUCAACAAGCAUUGACUACCUACAAUGUGCCAGACAUCAACAAAAGGGCUAGGAAAAUGGUGGUAAACAAGACAGCAAAGAAAUGUUUUCUUAUGGAGCUCACAUAUGUAUACAGAAGAAAACGUAAAUACAUAAGAAGAUGUGGAUAGUGAUAAAUGAGAAUGAUGGGGGGUGGGCAGGGAAACACAAGAAGAGGCAUGUGGAAAUGUAAGCACUAGAGCAGCGGUCUACUUAGUGCAUCUGGUGAAUGGAAAAUGGGCCAGUGUGGCUGGUGUGGGAAAGAGUGGAAAUAGACAAGGUCGGAGAGGUUGACAGGGCCAGAUCAAGAAGGGCCUUUGAGCCAGAAUGAGGAGUGAGGAUUUCAUUCCAAGUACAGCAUAAGCCAAUGGAGAGUUUUAAGCACAGUGAUCAUGUGACCAACACUUAUUGAAAGUGAAGGAUUUGAAAGGGUUUUUGCAAAAGAAGUCAUUAUCUAAUUCAAGAUUUAUUGAGCUUAAACAAUUAUUGAACCUUUGUUAUGUGCCAGGUGCUGACGACAGAAAGAUGAAUAAGAUGCUGACUCUGUCCUCGAGGUACAUACAAUCCAGUGGAGACACACAGUCUUGUGCAUGAAUAAGAACAACAUGGCAAUAAUGAGCAACAGUGCCUUUGUGGGGCAAAGUCAUGUGGUGCCACUUCCAUCUGUUUUAUUAACAAACAGAACAUGGUCUCUUAAAAGAGGCUUUUCUGGAUGUGCUUUUUGUUUUUUUAAGUGCUGAAAGGUAUGUACUACAUUCCAGAAGAUAAAUAUGCCCCUAGUUUGGCUCUCCCAGAGGAAGUGUGAGCAUUCUAAGAAGAGGCACAAUGGAACCAAACGUCUCAAGACUUGUGUUCUCUUCCCUACAUGGUUGGGAGACACUGAAAUGAGAGCAGGUGUUUUUGGGAAUCCAGUCUUCAUUUUCUUCAUCAGUAAAAGAGGGUUAAAAUAUUUGCUCUAUAAAGUCCCCUCUAGCUGUCUCAUUCUGAAACCCAAGGGAAGCUUUGUCUGGAUCAUUCAUUUAUAGGCUACAUUUUUGCCUUAGUAAUAGGGAAUACUAACUUUGAACCCCAAUAAAGCAAAAUGUUAUCCCCCAAGGAGAAUUAUAGUCUUCCCAUUAGUAGAUGUAUAUUGCAAAACUUGUACUUAAUUAUGAUUAUUUAAAAUUUUUGAAUAUUUGUAAAAAUUUUAUAGAAUUUUAAAAAUGCUUUUGAAUUUUAACAACUUGUAGAAUAUUUUUUUCUCUCUUGUCUAGCUAGGUACCUAUAUUAUAUCCUUGAUUUUGUCUCAUGUCCUGAAAAGCCUAAAAUGUGGAUCUUUAUCAAAAAAGAAUGCCAAAUCUUGUUUUAAAACUGGAAUGCUGUGGAACACAAUGUUUCCCAGAGAGAAAUCCCUGAAAUUCUAUUCCCACUGAUCUUCAAUGCAGAAGAGGUACCAUGGUCAAAUGAAGGCCCUGACAAUUCCUGAAGUAAUAACAAAUUCACGACCACAAUCAAAUGAACGUGCAAAUCCAUUUCACUGUGUUUAACUGAAUGUUUUUCAAUAUCUGUGAAGACAGACUGUUCAUUGGAAAACAAUCCUCAAAAUGCACAUUGGGCCCUGGCCGUGAGCUGGGUUCUGUCUGGCACACUCCUGUGUUCUCUAGGCAUGUACUUUUAUUCAAAGCCUCCAGCUGCAAUGGUAGGGAAGUCUAUGUUUGUUUCAAGUUAUAGUCUUUCCCCUUUGCUGGACCAUCUUGGCUGCAAACUGGGAGCCACACAUGCCGAAACAAUACAUUUUCCUCCAAAUCCUGGAACUGUUCCUUCCUAAAGUCCCAUGCCUGGAUGCCAGUGGAAGCAGUCUGGCCUCAGAUUGAGGAGAUCUGAAUCUACAGACAAUGUAAGACAUUGAAGUUGCUUUUCCUUAUAGAGGUGAGGGGUUUGAGUCAUGUCACUUACAUUCUCUUGCUUGGUUUCCCCUGUGACUCUAAGAACAUUGUGCAGCACACUGUUUCCCCCUCAGUUUCCUUGUGGGACAUCUGAACCCAAUGCAUGCAGGGGCUGAACUCUGUGAAGCUCUCACUGGGUUCAGAUGAGCAGGGCUUGUGCCCUAACUCCUCUCCCUCUCCAAGCACUACCAUUCCAAUAAUAACUGCUAUCUCUUUUGAACUUUGUGAACCACCUGAGCAGGCUAUGACACUAGCCUUUAGCAGUGGCCAGAGUGAUUCACAUGGCACCUGCAGGGCCAAACUCAUUGAGGGACAUUGUUAGACAGUGUUCAACAACUGAGGCAUAGAUAACAGUUGAAUGAGUGAACAAAUGCCAUUCAGCCCCAGAGAGUUGCCUCCUGGUAGGCAGGGACUUGUGCAGUGUGAGGAUUCCAGACUGCUGUCUGUGCAAGGGAUACUAUGUAGAGAGGAGGCAGGGCAGGAAAAUUGAACAAGCAUAGGUUUGAGUCCCAGACCCGCCAAGCAGCCAAAUAUCACCUUAAUCAAGUUUUAAAACUAUUCCUGGGGAUGAGUUUUCUUCUGGAAUACCUACCUUGCUAGAUUCUUGUGAUAAUGAAGGCUUCAUAAGGGAACUUAUGUGACAACUAUGAAGGAUCUGACACAUGGUAAGAACUCAACGGAUUACAGUGAUGAUAAAGCAGUUAUUAGGGUUGAAGGCCUCAUCAGCCAUCACCCCGUCGACUCCCUAUAUUCAAGAUGAGGUGACUUAAUCAAUAUGCCAGUCAGUGGGGGAACCCAGGUUUCCUCAGUCCUAGUUUAGUGCUCUGUUACACAUUUCUGCCUUCAAUUAUACAUUAAUUUCUGAAAGAAAAAUUGCAGUUCUAACCUUGAAUAUCCCUGUAAAUUCUGGCUUUGCAUUGAAACCCGAAGGAUGGGUACCUGGCCUCCAGUGUUUGUGGGCUGCUCAAUGGGACUUUUUAACCACAAAGCUGAGAACAUUGCCUUCUAGAAAGAGGGCAUCUCUCUUGCUGACACUCACAGGUUGCCAGGCUGGGACUUGGGAACACCAGGCUCACAAAUGCCCCAUACAUGUGAGCAGUUGGCUAGUCUAUGUCUCAUGCCUUGAGGAAGGUGAAAGAUCCUCGAGCCAUUGUAUUGCUGUCUCACCACACACCUGGCUGGAGCUAGACUUCUGGGGCUUGGCUGAAGUUUUGAAGGAACCACCUGAGGUGACUCAGGUAAGUAGCAACAAGGCAGGGAGGAGAGAAGCAGAGGCAGCAGAAGGGAAGAGAAGGACAAAGGCACUCGUAAUAGGCUGGAGCAGGCAAUGGUUUUCUUCCUCAAGAAAACAAUAUACACCAUGUCUAGAUUCCUUGCCAGACUAGCCUAUAAAAAUUGCAUUAAACACAUAAGCCUUAUGAGCUAUAAUACUCGUGAACUGUUAGAGUUACCGAAGUUUCUGUGAACUAGACUGAGUACCUCCUCACUUAGCAUUUUCAUAGUCUUAUUAUUAAUUACUUUAUUAUAAAAAUAUCAAAGUAUACUGAAGAGUAUAAAAUAAGUCUUUUCCCUUACUCUGUCCCCAAACUGAUCCAACUUCUAGAGUUUUCUGUUGAUAGUUUCUUAUAUAUCUUGCAGAUAUUUUCUCUAUAUACGUAACUGUAGUAGGUAUAAAGUCCACAAACAUCACUCAGAAAGUGACAUUUGAAGUGUCACUGGAGGAGGACAGGAAGUGAGCCAUGUAGCUAUAGGGGCUGGGGAAUUCCAAAAAGAGUGAACAGCAAGUGCUGAGCCCCUGGAUGAGAGUGGUGGGCUUGAGGAGUGGCAAACAGGCCCUGAGGCUGGAGUGCAGGGAGGAAGGAGGAGAUGUGUGGGUUGAGCUGGAGAACCCACAGGGCUCCGUCGGUCAGGGUAGGGGCUUGGGCUUUAACUGAGUAAAAUGAACAUCUGUGAGCAGAAGCACACCAUGAUCUGACUUAUUUUUAAUAGCAGGGAGAAUCAUUUGGAAGCUAUUGUAUAAUCAUCCAGGUGAGGGAUGAUGGUAGCAAGAAUCUUGAUGGUAGUGGAGUGUAAAAAUAAUUGGAUGCUGGAUAUAUUUUCACGGUACAGCUAAUGUGAUUUGUUGUUGGAUUGGUUGUGGAGUGUGAGAGGAUGAGAGGAAUGCAGGGCAACUUCUAGAUUUGGUUGCUGAAUAGCCAGAAUAACAUGGUGGCAAAUUCAUGGUGGGGCCAGUAUUCCAAACCAAGCCUACUGGGCGCGGGUUCUCUACUUCCUGCUCUAUACAGUCUUGCCUCCUGGGCACCACACAACCUUCCACAACACUGUGCUGUGGUAAAAGUUUGCACUCCAAGGCAAAGAACAAAAUGUCAGAAUAUUGCCUUCCAUUGAGUUGGAACCUUUUUAGAUCAAAUCAGUCAUAGUGUCUGAAAGGGUGUUCUUUUGGUCAUUUCUGAUAUUUAAAAGAUGCUUACUAGAAUCCAGGUGAUUCAUCUCUAGAAUUCUGGACUCACUUGUUGGGAAUGAUUGAACUGGACCAUUACUCCAGAAAGUCUUAUAUUUCUGUUUUUGGUGACUACACUCUCUGUGUGAGAGUUUUGCUGUGUUUUUUGUUCAUCCAUCACUUUCUGUGCCUUAUAAUGAAAACAGUGAAGACAAAUGUGCUAUUUAUAAUUUUCUUCCUGGAGUCAUUUCAAUUAAAAAUUAAUUAAAUGUCUUCACAUCAUAAUUUUAAAGUAUUCUAUCAGCAAUGGUGAGACAACAUAAAAGCUGUAAGAAUCCCCAAGUCUAAAAUAAACUUAUGCAAAUACCUUUUCAAAAUGCCACUGUGUGCAUAGACAGCAUUACUUAAACAUGGUUAGUACUUUUAUGUCUUUAUUAAUUUUAUUAAAGUAUAGAAAGGAAGACUUGGGAUUAAGGGGUAUUCAGGGAAGACAUUUGCAAAGUGUUAGAGUAUAGCAUGGUAGGGGCUGUUGAGGUUUCUUUGCUUUAGAACCACUGGUUCUCACAUUUUGGUGCCUACCAGGAAACACUUGAACUGGUAAAGUGCAUGAAGGCCUGGGUUCACUGAAGUAGGAUAUGGACUGGGUCUUUCAUAUUUUUGUUUGGUUCCCUGGGUGAUUUUGAAUACCCAUGAAAAUGUGAGAGCUACUGCUUUAGAGGACCACACUUCCUUAGUAUUUUGAGUCAGUGAUUCUGGAUUCUGAACAUGACACACCAGGAGGUAAAAUCUGUUCUGCUCAAUGCUUUGGGUGCCUUAGGUGUGAUAUCCAACUCCCGCCUUCCAGGAAUAUGAUGUCUGAAAAUGGCUGAAGUCAGCAGGGGUCCCAAACAUUUCAUACCUAGAAACACCUAGGUAUGACACUCUUUCCUUAGAAACUGAGCUGUGGAAUUCUGGAGUUCCAUUGAUAAGACCGCAAAUGUGUGGAUUUGCAGGUGACAUAUUGGUUUGCACCAAAGCAAUUCUCUUAUUUCUCUGCCAAAUGCAUCUUUCCCUAUAGGGGCCCCCAAGUCUAUUUUUCUGCCAAGAAACCCACGGUGGUUAUAAGUGAGGGAAGGGAAGGCUGUGUGGACUAACUCCAACGUUAGAGAUGAAGUCCUCCCUAAUGAAAGGCAGCAGGAGAUACAAAUCUAAAGUCAGGGGAGACAGGGUUACUGCAGGAUUUAGACUAUUUUAAUUCCACAUUUUAUUUCCAUUGUGGGAGAGAAAGACAUCCUUGAACUUCCCAAUAAUAGUAACUGUUAAAAAGUGCUAAGUAUUGUCCCAAAAGCAUUCUGGACAAUAUUUUAAUUAUCCUCAUAAACUCAACUGAAGAUUCAGUAUUAUGCUCAUUUCACAGAAGAGGAAAUGGAGGUACAGAGAACCUGCCCAAGGCCAUGCCAGCCUGUUACGGGAGCUAAGACCCAAACCCAGGCUGACUGGUUGCAAAGUAUAUAAUUUUAACCAUUAUGCUCUGCUGUCUUUCAACCUAGCAGGAUUUAUGCCCCUCUACCCCACUCCAUUAUGCAGGCCUAGGAAUCAUAAAUGGGAGUGAUACAGAGAGACGAAUACUCCAAGGCAGCCCUUCAGACAAUUGAGGUGUCUGGUGUCAGGCAAGACAACUGGGGGCUCCUGGGAGCCCUCCCUUGUCUGAGAAACAAGGUCCAGGGUGGGAUGAGGGUGGGGGUGGGGGCAUGCAGGGAGGUGGUCAGCUGGAACACAGUGGCACAGCUGAACUUGUUCCUUAUAGGUGGCAUCCAUUGUGACUGGGCAGUGCCUGCAGCAUACCAGUCCUUGAAUGUUCUGUAUGUCACUCCUGGGUGUAUGUUCUUCUCCCUGAGAACCAUUGUUGGCUUGAAGAUAGGCCCCUGAAUUAUCAUGGACCUUCUUCUAGGACAGAAGAGAGAGGCCAGUUGUUCAGUGGGCCGUCAAGUGCUGCUGACAAGUGGCAAGCUGUGAGCUACUGGGAAGCCUUGAGUUGUGGAGUGGGAAUGGUGGAGGGUAGAGGUGGUUCAGUGGAUAGGAUGAACACCAUGAUCCCCAGGGCAAGAUUUCUAAAACUUGAGUAAUAUAAGGAUCCCUUCUAAGGGAAAAAUAUUACAGCAUAUCUCCAGUAUAAAAUUUAUUCUUAUUAUAGUAUUACUACUUAAGGCUCAAACGAAACAUUAAUUAUAAAUCUUUAUCUUUAUGAAUUAUAAAACUAAAUUUAACAAAAACAUAUGCAAAUGACAAUAACAAUAAAAUUCAAGUUAGUAGUACUGAUUUAAUGUGAUAGAUGCUGUUGCUUUGCUGAAACAGCCACACCUUGCAAUACAUCGAUGGCGUUGGCACUACAGGCUCUUUGGAUGCAGGACCUCCACUUCACAUGUGAUAGGAUGACUCGGUUAACCUUGUACAGUUUUCUACUGCAAGACCUUUGUUUGUCUGUGAAGUCCUUUGGCUCCCAUCAUAUGCAAAAAUGUUAUUGAUGAGUUAUGUCGAUCUCUGAAGAACUCCUUGGUGCCAAUGUGAUUGUGAUACAAACUUGGGUACAAUGUUGUAUGAUGGUUAUAAGUGGGUGAUUAUAUAGAUAAUAAAUAAUGGGCCUAUUUAGAUUUUUUUAGAUUGAUUUGGGAUUAUGUUCCACUGGGAAUUAAGCUCUUAUAAGAGCAGGGGCUUUGUUUUGCUCUCUGCUGUAUUCUCAGUGCUGAGCACAGUACCUAGAACAGCUCUGCCCAAUAGACAUAGAAUCCAACCAUAGGUAGGAGUCACAUAUGCAAUUUAGAAUUUUCUAGUAGCCACAUUUCAAACAGUGAAAGAACAGGUGGAAUCAACUUUAAUAUAUUUUAUUUAGCCCAAUAUAUUCAAAAUACUAUCAUUUUUAUGUGUAAUCAAUAUUCAAAUUAUUGAGAUAUUUUACAUUUUUCUAAGUUUCCAAAAUUUGGUAUGAAUUUUACAUUUAAAGCAUGCUCAAAUAAGGCUAGCCACCUUUCAAGUGCUCAAUCAUCACAUGUGGCUAGUGGCUACUGUAUUGAACAAUAUAGAUAUAAAAGAUAAUAGGUGCUAAAUAAACUUUAAAAAAUAUUGCUGUAUGAAGGAUAAAAAGAACUUUCAGGUCCUCAAACCUUCAAUCAUUCUGGUUUCAGUGAUUCUGAUGCUGUCUCUCAUAUUAUAGUGGGGAAGCAGCAAAAGAAGUGAUUCUAAACCUCUUCUCACUUGAAUAAAUGCAGUGGCAUCCUCCUACCCAGUCUCCUUGCAUGCAGCCUUGCUCCUUUGUAAUCAUUGCUACCCAGGACAGCUAGACUGCCUUUUCCUAAAAUGCAAAGCUUAAGUCCCUCCCUCAUUCAAAAACCCUCCAGUGGCUUCUCUUCAACAUUAAAAUAAAGUCCAGUUUCCUUAGCAUGGAUUGGAAGGCCUGUGAUGAUCGGGCCCUUAUAUUCUCUUCUGCUCUCCUUAAAGUCUCUGCCCCAUCCAGACUGGAUUUAUUCCUGUUUUUUUUUUCACAUGCUGCGUCAUGUGCCUGCAACAUUCCUUUCUGCUCCUCAUUCCUUGGCUAACUCCUCCAUAUCCAUCAAGUACAGGUUAAAAUGUCACUUCUAGGAAGCCCCCCCUGACCCCAUGGACUGUGUAGCUCUCCGAUUCUUGCUGCUGUGUACUGCCCUAGUUAAAUAUUCCUCACUCGCACAUCCCACAUCAGAACCCUCUUUUCAGGAACUGUGCCUCCUACUUUUUGGGAACUGGGAUAACUAAGGAGAAAGACAAAGGCUGACUUGGAUUGUAGAGGACUGGUAGAUUUUAUUAUCACAAAGUGUGGCAGAAGUCUUGGGAGAAAGGAAAUGGACAUUUUCUACCUAGUUAAAAAUGUUAUGCUGGCCAGGCGUGGUGGCUCACGCUUGUAAUCCCAGCACUUUGGGAGGCUGAGGCGGGCGGAUCACGAGGUCAGGAGAUCGAGACCAUCCUGGCCAACACGGUGAAACCCUGUCUCUACUAAAAGUACAAAAAAAUUAGUCAGGCGUGGUGGUGGGCGCCUGUAGUCCCAGCUACUCGGGAGGCUGAGGCAGGAGAAUGGCGUGAACCCUGGAGGUGGAGCUUGCAGUGAGUCGAGAUCAUGCCACUGCACUCCAGCCUGGGUGACAGAGCAAGACUGUCUUAAAAAAAAAAAAAAGUUAUGCUAAGGCUUAAGUAAAUUGCAGAAAUCCCAUUCUUCCUAUCACCAUGUGGACCAGGGAAUUAUUCCAGUUAAGGUCAGCUGGCCCCUGUGUCUUUUUUCAAUUGGGAGAUGUGAGUUUUGGAAAACUUGUGGCUCCUCUGUCCUUGAGUAUUGAGGGUUCCUCCUAGGUCCUCCCCCUCAUCAAUUAAAAUGACUCACAUAGCAAUGAUAUUUAGCAUACAUAUCAACUAGAACAGUGGUUCUGAACCAGAGGAACAUCUCAAAAUCACCAGGGAGUUUUGCUAAAAUACAGCUGUUACAUAUCUGCUCUCCCCUACUCCCCCUCUAGGCCCAUGAAUCAGAAUCUCUCAGGAUGGGGGCCAGCAAUAUGUACUAUGUGUGGGCUUCUCAGUCAACUGAUAUUUCAUCUCUGGUUAAGAAUUAUUGAGCCAGGGUAAGAGAAGAGCAAAGUAGUCUAAAACCAGAGGCUUUGCAGAUUAUGAUGGGUGGUUUCUUAAGGCAAUGUAGAUGGCUGGGGGUAAUAUUUCCUAUUCUAGGAGCACAGUCUGGAAGAACUAUUAGUGUGGGAAUGGAUAGCUGGUAUUGAAAGGCAAGAGAAUUCUGAACCCAACUGAUCAGGCUUUAUUUGUUCCUUGUGCAACUCAUAAUCUUAAGUUUUUAUUAUUGCACAGCUGCCAAUUUGAUUUUUCAAUGCAAAUAAAAGUCUGAUGUGUUAUGACACUUUGCAUUUGUUCACUGUAUCUAUUAAAGGAUGAAAUAGUUUAUUAAAAAUUGUUCUCAAACCACAUUCAAACACCUGUUGAUAAGGACAAGUUAGCAGAGUAUAAUGUGAUAUUUCAUCAUCUAUUGGCCGUGGGGCUUUAGAGGUGAGGUUUAAAAGUAGCACCAGUAUAUUUGGGAUGUGGGGAUUGAGGGAGACAUAGUGUUGCCCACCAUAAUAUUUUACAUUUUUUCAACACAUACUUAGUGAGGGCAUGUGAUGUGCCAGAUCUGGUUUCUAGCCGUGGAAACAAAGACCCAAAUCCAUGCCUUCACAGAGCUUACAUUUUAAUGGAAAAAAAAUAAAUGAAUAAAUAA